GAAAAGGUCAAUCGUAUCUCGUUGUUCAGUGAUCCGGGAGGUGGAAGGCUAUUGGUUCAGGGAGCCCGUCAGACCGGACUGGAGUGAGCCAUGAUUGGUCGACACAGGCGCAAUCAGAGUCAAGAAAACUUUGCUUUUGACUUAUUUACAGCUAGUCACAAUUGAGUGAAGUAUACUCCUGUAAACAAAUUUGGAUUUCUCUCUCUCAAUCUGAUUUCUCCAGAAUGUGGAAACUAUUUAAACAGACUGCAGAUUGAAUUCCUACAUAGGCUAUUCCAGAAUUCUUACGAGACUUGCAUUAGGACAUCAGCAACAGGUAUCAUCUAGUGAACUGUUCAGAUGCAACUGAAUUGAAAAGGAGCUGAACAAAAGAUCCUGAGAGAGACUUCAACAAAAAGUAAAAUGGAUUUUAUCAUACUUGAAAAAUCAACAAUUGCAGUCUGGAUUCAUACAUCACUGUCUGAUGCACCCAACUUGAGUCAAAAAGAUGUUUCAAAUCCCACUAGGCUGGAGGCAAAAAUACUCAAGAGUUUAAGAGCGUCUCUUGACAGUGUACAGAAUAAGAUAGCUUCUCAGCUUUCAGCUUUACUUCACGGUUUUAACUAUCAAAAGAAGCAAGCCAUCUGAAGAUUUGCCUGAGACUGAAGGAUCCACUUCUGCGACGACUCCCUCAGGACUUAUAAUGCAGAUGGAACCAGAUUGAGAAAAACCAGCCAACCAACCAACCAACAUGAUGGCUGAACCAGACAAGAGAAGUCCCGAAGUAAAAUACCCACCAAUUACCAGAAUCUGUGCCUGCCAUACAUCGAAGGAGAAGAUGGCAUCAGUUCAACUUCUAGAUGUGCAAAUAAAUGACUGGAGUUGAAUUUGUAA
RNAcentral lists this long non-coding RNA (873 nucleotides) under Homo sapiens (human). RNAcentral describes it as "novel transcript". Lineage: Eukaryota; Metazoa; Chordata; Mammalia; Primates; Hominidae. The record is from RNAcentral.